AGUGAACGCUGGCGGCGUGGCUAAGACAUGCAAGUUGAACGAUAGUCCCUUCGGGGACGAAAAGUAGCGAACGGGUGCGUAACACGUAAGUAAUCUGCCUCUAAGAGGGGGAUAGCUCGCUGAAAGGCGAAUUAAUACCGCAUACAGUUCUGUUUCGCAUGAAGCAGAUACUAAAGCUUGUAAAGGCGCUUAGAGAGGAACUUGCGGCCUAUCAGCUAGUUGGGGAGGUAAAGGCUCACCAAGGCUAAGACGGGUAGCCGGUCUGAGAGGAUGAUCG
RNAcentral lists this ribosomal RNA (277 nucleotides) under uncultured bacterium. Its description in RNAcentral is "partial 16S ribosomal RNA". It matches the Rfam family "Bacterial small subunit ribosomal RNA", at positions 29 to 306 of the family's 1533-position model. The record is from RNAcentral.